RNAcentral lists this ribosomal RNA (356 nucleotides) under Aculops fuchsiae. Its description in RNAcentral is "partial large subunit ribosomal RNA". It matches the Rfam family "Eukaryotic large subunit ribosomal RNA", at positions 645 to 952 of the family's 3401-position model. Lineage: Eukaryota; Metazoa; Arthropoda; Arachnida; Trombidiformes; Eriophyidae. The record is from RNAcentral.
UGACCCGUCUUGAAACACGGACCAAGGAGUCUAAUUAGGCAUCGAGUCGAUCGGUCUUGAAUAGGCCAGACUGGGAUUUCGGUCCCGACUGAAGGCGUAGAGAAAUCAAAUCAUGUGAUCACUGGAGCAACAUCAGCUCUUGUGCGCAACAUGUGCCUGUUCGUAUAGCAAUGUUAGCAAUAACUUGCUGGGCGGAGCAAAGAGAUGCUUGAUUGGUACCCGAAAGAUGGUGAACUAUGCUUGGGCAAAUUGAAGCCAGAGGAAACUCUGGUGGAGGAUUGUAGCGAUUCUGACGUGCAAAUCGAUCGUCAGACCUGAGUAUAGGGGCGAAAGACUAAUCGAACCAUCUAGUAGCU